Molecule: non-coding RNA, 66 nt
Filed under: Alexandrium minutum
Lineage: Eukaryota; Dinophyceae; Gonyaulacales; Pyrocystaceae
Source: RNAcentral
GUACUUUUUUUUUUUUUUUUUUUUUUUUUUUUUUUUUUUUUUUUUUUUUUUUUCACCAAUGAGGGG